Molecule: ribosomal RNA, 241 nt
Filed under: uncultured bacterium
Lineage: Bacteria
Description: partial 16S ribosomal RNA
Rfam family: Bacterial small subunit ribosomal RNA
Source: RNAcentral
CAAGCGGAUCUCUUAAAGCUGUUCUCAGUUCGGACUGCAGUCUGCAACUCGACUGCACGAAGCUGGAAUCGCUAGUAAUCGCGGAUCAGCACGCCGCGGUGAAUACGUUCCCGGGCCUUGUACACACCGCCCGUCACACCAUGGAAGUCUGCAAUGCCCGAAGCCGGUGGCCUAACCACUUAUGUGGAAGGAGCCGUCUAAGGCAGGGCAGAUGACUGGGGUGAAGUCGUAACAAGGUAGC